GAUGAACGCUGGCGGCGUGCCUAAUACAUGCAAGUCGAGCGAAUGGAUUAAGAGCUUGCUCUUAUGAAGUUAGCGGCGGACGGGUGAGUAACACGUGGGUAACCUGCCCAUAAGACUAGGAUAACUCCGGGAAACCGGGGCUAAUACCGGAUAACAUUUUGAACCGCAUGGUUCGAAAUUGAAAGGCGGCUUCGGCUGUCACUUAUGGAUGGACCCGCGUCGCAUUAGCUAGUUGGUGAGGUAACGGCUCACCAAGGCAACGAGGCGUAGCCGACCUGAGAGGGUGAUCGGCCACACUGGGACUGAGACACGGCCCAGACUCCUACGGGAGGCAGCAGUAGGGAAUCUUCCGAAAUGGACGAAAGUCUGACGGAGCAACGCCGCGUGAGUGAUGAAGGCUUUCGGGUCGUAAAACUCUGUUGUUAGGGAAGAACAAGUGCUAGUUGAAUAAGCUGGCACCUUGACGGUACCUAACCAGAAAGCCACGGCUAACUACGUGCCAGCAGCCGCCGUAA
This 515-nucleotide ribosomal RNA is filed under the name uncultured bacterium. RNAcentral's name for it is "partial 16S ribosomal RNA". It matches the Rfam family "Bacterial small subunit ribosomal RNA", at positions 28 to 523 of the family's 1533-position model. The record is from RNAcentral.